UCCUACGGGAGGCAGCAGUGGGGAAUAUUGCGCAAUGGGGGAAACCCUGACGCAGCAACGCCGCGUGAAUGAAGAAGGCCUUAGGGUUGUAAAGUUCUGUCAUAUGGGAAGAUAAUGACGGUACCAUAUGAGGAAGCCACGGCUAACUACGUGCCAGCAGCCGCGGUAAUACGUAGGUGGCAAGCGUUGUCCGGAUUUACUGGGCGUAAAGGAUGCGUAGGCGGAUAUUUAAGUGGGAUGUGAAAUACCCGGGCUCAACUUGGGUGCUGCAUUCCAAACUGGAUAUCUAGAGUGCAGGAGAGGAAAGCGGAAUUCCUAGUGUAGCGGUGAAAUGCGUAGAGAUUAGGAAGAACACCAGUGGCGAAGGCGGCUUUCUGGACUGUAACUGACGCUGAGGCAUGAAAGCGUGGGGAGCAAACAGGAUUAGAUACCCUGGUAGUCC
RNAcentral lists this ribosomal RNA (442 nucleotides) under uncultured bacterium. Its description in RNAcentral is "bacterial SSU rRNA". It matches the Rfam family "Bacterial small subunit ribosomal RNA", at positions 337 to 796 of the family's 1533-position model. The record is from RNAcentral.